This 1445-nucleotide ribosomal RNA is filed under the name Zoanthus sp. QL-2018. RNAcentral's name for it is "bacterial LSU rRNA". It matches the Rfam family "Bacterial large subunit ribosomal RNA", at positions 815 to 2274 of the family's 2925-position model. Lineage: Eukaryota; Metazoa; Cnidaria; Anthozoa; Zoantharia; Zoanthidae. The record is from RNAcentral.
GUAGGGGUGAAAGGCUAAUCAAACUCGGAGAUAGCUCGUACUCCCCGAAAUGCAUUUAGGUGCAGCGUUGAGUCGAGUGUGAUGGAGGUAGAGCUACCGAUAGGGCUAGGGGGCUUCGCGGCCUACCAACCCCUGACGAACUCCGAAUGCCAUCACACUGCAUCAGCAGUGAGGCGUAGGGUGCAACGUCCUAUGCCGAGAGGGAAACAACCCAGACCAUCAGCUAAGGUCCCCAAAUUUUAGUUAAGUUGAAUGAACGAGGUGGGAAUGCUAAGACAGCUAGGAUGUUGGCUUAGAAGCAGCCACCAUUUAAAAAGUGCGUAACAGCUUACUAGUCGAGCAAUUUUGCGCCGAUAAUGAACGGGAGUAAGUAUUACACCGAAGCAGUAGAUUCAGUGAUUCUUCGGAUGAUCUGUUUGGUAGGAGAGCGCUGUAGGUCAGAUACAAGCCGUACCGAAAGGAGCGGUGUCGGGGCCUACAGGUGAUUAUGCCGGAAUGAGUAACGAUAAAGCAGGUGAGAAUCCUGCUCGCCGAAAGCCUAAGGUUUCCUGGGGAAGGCAAUUCCGCCCAGGGUUAGCCGGUACCUUAGUCGAGGCCGAAAGGCGUAGACGAUGGAUAGCAGGUCAACAUUCCUGCGCCGGUGUGUGGACUGAUGGAGGGACGGCAUCCAGAAAGAGAGCGGUACGAAUAGAAAUGUCCGUGGCGAAAGCUGAGCCGGCGGGAUGUAAAUGCACCCGCAUAACGCAAGGCUGAGACCGACUGGCUAUGACCGGGAAGUCAUUGGAAGGUUGUCCAAGAAAAGCUUCUAAGCUUUGAAGCAAGUUGACCGUACUAAAACUGACACAGGUAGGCGAGACGAGUAGUCUAAGGCGCUCGGGAGAACGGUGGUUAAGGAACUCUGCAAAAUGGCCCCGUAAGUUCGCGAUAAGGGGCGCCUCGCAAGAGGCCACAGAAAAUCGGCUCUAACGACUGUUUAUCAAAAACACAGGUCUCUGCUAACACGCAAGUGGAUGUAUAGAGACUGACGCCUGCCCGGUGCUGGUAGGUUAAGGAAGGGGGUUAGCAUUAGCGAAGCUCACAACCGAAGCCCCAGUAAACGGCGGCCGUAACUAUGACGGUCCUAAGGUAGCGAAGUUCCUUGUCGGGUAAGUUCCGACCUGCAUGAAUGGCGUAACGACUGGCGCACUGUCUCAACCAGCAACCCGGUGAAAUUGUAGUCGUGGUGAAGAUGCCACGUACCCGCGGUUAGACGGAAAGACCCCGUGAACCUUCACUGUAGGCUGAUAUUGGGUUGAGGUAUGUCUUGUGUAGUAUAGCUGGGAGGCUGUGAUCUGGGCGCGCUAGCGUUCAAGGAGCCAUCGUUGAAAUACCAGCCUGGUCAUGCUUUAAUUCUAACCCUAUACCGUGAAACCGGUUAGGGAACAGUGUCAGUUGGGCAGUUUGAC